Engraulis encrasicolus (European anchovy) is the source of this 936-nucleotide long non-coding RNA. RefSeq lists it as uncharacterized. Lineage: Eukaryota; Metazoa; Chordata; Actinopteri; Clupeiformes; Engraulidae. The record is from RefSeq and is a predicted model, not a curated record. The transcript is spliced from 2 exons.
UCACUUUCGAGCAGCUACCGGUAAAAUUUGCUGAACCCUCGCUCUCGUACCCGAAACAGCAUCAUCACCAGUGUUGGGCAGUAAUGCAUUACAAAAGUAAUUAAUUGCCUCUACUGUAAUGCAUUACAGGGCAAAAAUAUGUAAUAUUAACUUAGUUACAAUGCUUACAAGUUACAUUUCAGUGUGGUGGGUCAGAAAUAAGCUACUGUAUUCCUGAACCUGGUAGUUUUAGUUUGCAUGCUGCCAAAACACCUCUUGGGUGGGAGGUAAAAGUCAUGACUCAUGCAAAAGUAGUGUAAUGCCUUAUAUUUUAAAUAUAGUAAUGAUUUAGUGUAAGGGAUUAUUUUGAAAAGACAGUAACAUAACAUGUAAGCUUAAUCAGUAGUAACUUGCCCAACACUGAUCAUCACCCAUACGACAUGCAUUUCAUUUUAUUAUAACCAGGGUGCGAUUUGUAGUCAGGGAUUGUCCCCCCUUGUGGUCUUGAUAUCGCCACUUUUUCUGCAUGAUUUUAUCACAGUUCAAUGUAAUUCCAUUGAUAUCGCUUACAAUCUGAAACAUAUUCCCCCUUCUGGUUUUCCAGAUCACAAAUCGCACCCUGAUUAUAACCAUUGCAUUACUCUGGUUAUACAGUAGCCCACUACUUUUCAUUACAUGUAAUGAUGUAGAGAUCUAGAGCUAAUAUAAUGCUUCUCCCAGUAGGCCUAGUGGAUCCACACCGUGACCUAAGUGCACUGGACCCUGUUGAUAUGCAGCCACCUCAGCUUCAUGAAGAAACGGCAAGAUUCAGAUGACUACACCGUUUCAGAUCUACUCAUCUCGCUCACCUGUCCACCUGGAUGAAGGAUCACACUCUGCAGCUGAACAUGUCCAAAACCAAGCUCCCAAUCAAAUUGUUCUAGGUUAAUCUCUAACAACAACCUUUUUCUUCCUGCA